Molecule: long non-coding RNA, 795 nt
Organism: Dunckerocampus dactyliophorus (ringed pipefish)
Lineage: Eukaryota; Metazoa; Chordata; Actinopteri; Syngnathiformes; Syngnathidae
Exons: 3
Source: RefSeq, a predicted model, not a curated record
CACCAGAUGAUCCAUCACUUUAAUCUUGAUUUGUCUUCUGAAUCCUAUAUGAUGAUGCUAGCGGGUAACUAGCUAGCCGCUGUCAGGCUAGCUGCUGCAUGUGUCGUCACAUGUAAUCAAAGUUCCUAGCUCUCCAACUUGUGGGUUCUUGCUGGAGUGACACCUCGCGUUGACUCUCCUCUGCUUUCCUGACACGAGAAGCUUCCAGAAGCUAAAGCUUCGUCUCUGAGGAAGGGAGUGCGGGCCAAGGCUGGCGCCAUAAAUCUUAAGCCGCAGGAGGGGAGGGCUGGAAGGCUGAUCCUGGAUCUUGGAUCACGGGAAGGACAACCGCAUCUACUGCGGGAGACCACCAGAGGACGGACCUACAUAUCUCCACUGGAAAUAAUAAUAUGAUGCUUCCUUCAAAGGUGGAAAAUUGCCAGGCUGACGGUGUGAAAGGGGCUACAUCGCAUUCCACUUAAGUCUUGCAGGUGUCGGUAGCUGAAGAAGACUCGUCCGCUCUCUGUGGACUUGGAAUGCGAAAGCUAAAAACAGCAAAUGAAUCGAAUGAAAUGAAUUUCUAUGUACCACAAGCAGUAGCUCCACAGAGAUCACACGUGGCAGGGUACAGUAACACCUCUCAGCUGACACACACCUUGACAUAAAUGGUCAAGGCCAACAUGUGGACAAUAAUAAUAAUAAUAAAUCAACAUUGACAGCCACCUGUGCUGUUGCCUGGGUAUAGAGGUUGUACCAACCACAACCUUUGUCACAUCUCCGCUGUCGGCUUGAUCUGACGCUGAGCUUCAUGAAGCU